Molecule: ribosomal RNA, 2518 nt
Filed under: Escherichia coli
Lineage: Bacteria; Pseudomonadati; Pseudomonadota; Gammaproteobacteria; Enterobacterales; Enterobacteriaceae
Description: partial 23S ribosomal RNA
Rfam family: Bacterial large subunit ribosomal RNA
Source: RNAcentral
CGGGACACGUGGUAUCCUGUCUGAAUAUGGGGGGACCAUCCUCCAAGGCUAAAUACUCCUGACUGACCGAUAGUGAACCAGUACCGUGAGGGAAAGGCGAAAAGAACCCCGGCGAGGGGAGUGAAAAAGAACCUGAAACCGUGUACGUACAAGCAGUGGGAGCCUCUUUAUGGGGUGACUGCGUACCUUUUGUAUAAUGGGUCAGCGACUUAUAUUCUGUAGCAAGGUUAACCGAAUAGGGGAGCCGAAGGGAAACCGAGUCUUAACUGGGCGUUAAGUUGCAGGGUAUAGACCCGAAACCCGGUGAUCUAGCCAUGGGCAGGUUGAAGGUUGGGUAACACUAACUGGAGGACCGAACCGACUAAUGUUGAAAAAUUAGCGGAUGACUUGUGGCUGGGGGUGAAAGGCCAAUCAAACCGGGAGAUAGCUGGUUCUCCCCGAAAGCUAUUUAGGUAGCGCCUCGUGAAUUCAUCUCCGGGGGUAGAGCACUGUUUCGGCAAGGGGGUCAUCCCGACUUACCAACCCGAUGCAAACUGCGAAUACCGGAGAAUGUUAUCACGGGAGACACACGGCGGGUGCUAACGUCCGUCGUGAAGAGGGAAACAACCCAGACCGCCAGCUAAGGUCCCAAAGUCAUGGUUAAGUGGGAAACGAUGUGGGAAGGCCCAGACAGCCAGGAUGUUGGCUUAGAAGCAGCCAUCAUUUAAAGAAAGCGUAAUAGCUCACUGGUCGAGUCGGCCUGCGCGGAAGAUGUAACGGGGCUAAACCAUGCACCGAAGCUGCGGCAGCGACACUAUGUGUUGUUGGGUAGGGGAGCGUUCUGUAAGCCUGUGAAGGUGUACUGUGAGGUAUGCUGGAGGUAUCAGAAGUGCGAAUGCUGACAUAAGUAACGAUAAAGCGGGUGAAAAGCCCGCUCGCCGGAAGACCAAGGGUUCCUGUCCAACGUUAAUCGGGGCAGGGUGAGUCGACCCCUAAGGCGAGGCCGAAAGGCGUAGUCGAUGGGAAACAGGUUAAUAUUCCUGUACUUGGUGUUACUGCGAAGGGGGGACGGAGAAGGCUAUGUUGGCCGGGCGACGGUUGUCCCGGUUUAAGCGUGUAGGCUGGUUUUCCAGGCAAAUCCGGAAAAUCAAGGCUGAGGCGUGAUGACGAGGCACUACGGUGCUGAAGCAACAAAUGCCCUGCUUCCAGGAAAAGCCUCUAAGCAUCAGGUAACAUCAAAUCGUACCCCAAACCGACACAGGUGGUCAGGUAGAGAAUACCAAGGCGCUUGAGAGAACUCGGGUGAAGGAACUAGGCAAAAUGGUGCCGUAACUUCGGGAGAAGGCACGCUGAUAUGUAGGUGAAGUCCCUUGCGGAUGGAGCUGAAAUCAGUCGAAGAUACCAGCUGGCUGCAACUGUUUAUUAAAAACACAGCACUGUGCAAACACGAAAGUGGACGUAUACGGUGUGACGCCUGCCCGGUGCCGGAAGGUUAAUUGAUGGGGUUAGCGGUAACGCGAAGCUCUUGAUCGAAGCCCCGGUAAACGGCGGCCGUAACUAUAACGGUCCUAAGGUAGCGAAAUUCCUUGUCGGGUAAGUUCCGACCUGCACGAAUGGCGUAAUGAUGGCCAGGCUGUCUCCACCCGAGACUCAGUGAAAUUGAACUCGCUGUGAAGAUGCAGUGUACCCGCGGCAAGACGGAAAGACCCCGUGAACCUUUACUAUAGCUUGACACUGAACAUUGAGCCUUGAUGUGUAGGAUAGGUGGGAGGCUUUGAAGUGUGGACGCCAGUCUGCAUGGAGCCGACCUUGAAAUACCACCCUUUAAUGUUUGAUGUUCUAACGUUGGCCCCUGAUCGGGGUUGCGGACAGUGUCUGGUGGGUAGUUUGACUGGGGCGGUCUCCUCCUAAAGAGUAACGGAGGAGCACGAAGGUUGGCUAAUCCUGGUCGGACAUCAGGAGGUUAGUGCAAUGGCAUAAGCCAGCUUGACUGCGAGCGUGACGGCGCGAGCAGGUGCGAAAGCAGGUCAUAGUGAUCCGGUGGUUCUGAAUGGAAGGGCCAUCGCUCAACGGAUAAAAGGUACUCCGGGGAUAACAGGCUGAUACCGCCCAAGAGUUCAUAUCGACGGCGGUGUUUGGCACCUCGAUGUCGGCUCAUCACAUCCUGGGGCUGAAGUAGGUCCCAAGGGUAUGGCUGUUCGCCAUUUAAAGUGGUACGCGAGCUGGGUUUAGAACGUCGUGAGACAGUUCGGUCCCUAUCUGCCGUGGGCGCUGGAGAACUGAGGGGGGCUGCUCCUAGUACGAGAGGACCGGAGUGGACGCAUCACUGGUGUUCGGGUUGUCAUGCCAAUGGCACUGCCCGGUAGCUAAAUGCGGAAGAGAUAAGUGCUGAAAGCAUCUAAGCACGAAACUUGCCCCGAGAUGAGUUCUCCCUGACUCCUUGAGAGUCCUGAAGGAACGUUGAAGACGACGACGUUGAUAGGCCGGGUGUGUAAGCGCAGCGAUGCGUUGAGCUAACCGGUACUAAUGAACCGUGAGG